Molecule: ribosomal RNA, 499 nt
Filed under: uncultured bacterium
Lineage: Bacteria
Description: partial 16S ribosomal RNA
Rfam family: Bacterial small subunit ribosomal RNA
Source: RNAcentral
AUUGAACGCUGGCGGCAUGCCUUACACAUGCAAGUCGAACGCGAAAGGGGGGCAACUCCUGAGUAGAGUGGCGCACGGGUAAGUAAUGCAUCGGAACGUGUCCUGUAGCGGGGGAUAACCUAGCGAAAGCUAGGCUAAUACCGCAUACGUCCUACGGGAGAAAGUGGGGGAUCGUAAGACCUCACACUAUAGGAGCGGCCGAUGCCGGAUUAGCUAGUUGGUGGGGUAAAAGCCUACCAAGGCGACGAUCCGUAGCGGGUCUGAAAGGGUGAUCAGCCACACGGGGACUGAGACACGGCCCAGACUCCUACGGGGGGCAGCAGUGGGGAAUUUUGGACAAUGGGGGAAACCCUGAUCCAGCCAUGCCGCGUGAGUGAAGAAGGCCUUCGGGUUGUAAAGCUCUUUCGGCCGGGACGAAAUCGCACGCGUGAAUAUCGCGUGUGGAUGACGGUACCGGAAGAAGAGGCACCGGCUAACUACGUGCCAGCAGCCGCCGUAA